GACGAACGCUGGCGGCGUGCCUAAUACAUGCAAGUAGAACGCUGAAGGAGGAGCUUGCUUCUCUGGAUGAGUUGCGAACGGGUGAGUAACGCGUAGGUAACCUGCCUGGUAGUGGGGGAUAACUAUUGGAAACGAUAGCUAAUACCGCAUAAUAGCAGUUGUUGCAUGAUAACUGUUUGAAAGGUGCAAUUGCACCGCUACCAGAUGGACCUGCGUUGUAUUAGCUAGUUGGUGGGGUAACGGCUCACCAAGGCGACGAUACAUAGCCGACCUGAGAGGGUGAUCGGCCACACUGGGACUGAGACACGGCCCAGACUCCUACGGGAGGCAGCAGUAGGGAAUCUUCGGCAAUGGACGGAAGUCUGACCGAGCAACGCCGCGUGAGUGAAGAAGGGUUUCGGAUCGUAAAGCUCUGUUGUAAGAGAAGAACGAGUGUGAGAGUGGAAAGUUCACACUGUGACGGUAUCCUACCAGAAAGGGACGGCUAACUACGUG
This 495-nucleotide ribosomal RNA is filed under the name uncultured bacterium. RNAcentral describes it as "partial 16S ribosomal RNA". It matches the Rfam family "Bacterial small subunit ribosomal RNA", at positions 28 to 507 of the family's 1533-position model. The record is from RNAcentral.